This 4827-nucleotide long non-coding RNA is filed under the name Homo sapiens (human). RNAcentral's name for it is "uncharacterized LOC100507053 (LOC100507053)". Lineage: Eukaryota; Metazoa; Chordata; Mammalia; Primates; Hominidae. The record is from RNAcentral.
GCCGCUAAGUUGUGCGUUCCAGGGUGCACUCGCCGGCGAGGCUGCACGGCGCCGGUUUCAUUGCUAAAAUCCGACGGACUUGUUGCAGAACUCGUUUUUUUUGUCGGGAAAGGGCUUCCCCGUGUAACUUUACAGCAGUUAUCGUAGAUAAGACUUGCAAAUUACAGAUGUGGACGGUGAGGGAACGGGAAUUUCACUGAAAGCGCCUGAGAACCAGUAAGAGACCUGCAACAGCUUUGUGCUCCACUGGCGAAUGCUUCCUCCCCUAAUACACAUUAUGUGUGCUUGGAGACACAAGGAGUAAGAUACAGCCCCUCAAGGGACUCGUCAUAGGGAGAGGACACAGCUUUGGGAAUAAAGGGGCCACAAAGGAGGAGAGAGGAGUUUGCUGAAACUUCCCAAGCUCCCAUUCCAGCAGUUCCUGAAGGAUUCAUUUCUCUCUGAGGAUCUCAUGAGGUGGCUUAGCAGCUAGAAUCUCUUCCUUAACAGUGGGAAGAACAACUCCUGGAAAUUUAGGUCGACUUUGACUGGAUUUAAAAGAAAGCUGUACAAUUCCACUUCUGUAUAUACAACCAAAGGAAAUGAGAUGUGCAUACCCAUGUUCAAUGAAGCAUUAUUCACAAUAGCCAAAAUGUGGAACCAAUCCUUAAACAAAAGGAAAACAGAAAAUCUGCUCAAGUCCCUGCAGGCACCUGAGAAAAUCACAACCCACACUUGCGAACCCCUAGGAGACCUAAAGCUGUGGUUUUACAAAUAAACAGAUAAGUAACAUUCCUACUCUUUCCUAUAGGUACUCAAUCUUCUUAACAACUCCCAUCCCACACAGGUUUGCAUCCCCAGCAGAUACAUAUGGCUAUGUGGUCACCCAUUCGAUCAGCCUAUAAAAGACUUGUCUUAUUUGAUAUUGUGAAACCCAUGGUUAUCAGUGUAUAUGAAAAUGUUUGGUUCAGGGGUCAAUGUACAAUAUGACAAGCAAAGUCCUCUAAUACACAGUUAUAUAAAAUCACUCACCUGAGAGCCAAGUGGACAAUUGGCCUUAUAUUGGCUGGAGUUGGAGCCCCAGAGGGAAAAUUUGCCUAUUAUUAGGCAACUCUUCAAAACUUUACUUAUUCGUUUCUAAACACUGUCUCAUAAAAUGGGGGAUGCUUUAGAUGAAUUAAGAUUAGCACUAGAUUACUUAUUCGUUGAAAAUUAGCACUAGAUUUCUUAUUGGUUGAACAAGGAGGAGUGUGCACCAUAAUCAAUAUAACCUGCUGCAGUUAUGUAAACACCUCAGGUCACAUAGAAGAAGAUAUACAGAAAAUACAUGAACAAGCUGUGUGGUUGCGUAAAUAUAACCAAGGCACCAAUCCCAACUGUAUCUGGUCAGCCAUUAGAAGCACCCUCCUGAGUCUCACUUGGUUGUUGCCCUUCCUAGGAACUUUGAUAGUUGUCUUAUUAUUAAUCUUUGGCCCUUGCUUGUUUAAAUUCUUGGUAAAGUUUGUGUUUUUUAGAUUACAACAAUUCCACAUAAAGAUGAUACUGACACAAAGCUUCCAAUCCAUCCCGUCUUCUGAACCGGGAAAUAAAGACACCCUGCCUUUAGGUGUCUUUAGAUCUAGAUCAGGCAUCUAGAGAUUUUUACUCCUCCAAUACUUGGCAGGGUCUAUGCCCGUAGACUCAUCAGGAUACCAUGUAAAUGAGGACCUCCCUUGGUACCCCAGAGGCCAACUGUAGACCCUUAUGAGAAAAUCCUGUCCCCAAAAUGAACAUCCACUGUCAGCAGGAAGAAGUUACAGAAGACCAGCCUUUGCCCUUACGAUUAAGGGUCCUCUUGUAAGUAGAGAGGGGAAUGUUAGGAAAGCAGGAGCCUAGGUGAUCCAGAGUGACACCAUUUUAAAAUAAACUCCACCUGAAAACUAGCAAGGCAUCUGCACACAUCUGUUUAGCAAGUAUAUACUUCUGUAACUGGAAUAAAAAGCGUUAUUUUAGAAUAUGCCUAUAGUUUGUAAUAAUUAGCCGAGGGAAAAAAAGUUCACAUUGGUGUAGGAAAAGUGCCCUAAUGGUCAUGGGUAAUAAUGGGACCGUGGUUCUGGUCAGUGAUUUGAUGGAAGGGGUGUAGAUAAUAUAUUGUUGUAAAUAAUAAAAAUAAAAAAUUGUUGUAAGUAAUAAAAAUAAAAUAAUAUUGUUGUAAGUAAUAAAGUAGGAGAAAUAUUUGGUCUUUUGCUUUUGGGUUAGUGCAACAGUAGUACCAUUACUUGGAGGAGAAGUUAGAGAAGGACAAGAAUAGGCUUGAAUAAGAUGAGUGAGAAGAGAGAAAAAUUCCGUAAGUGGAGAUGGCCAGGGAACACCAGGGCAGCAGAAUCUAACUCUGAAUUUAAUGCUGUUGUCUGUUCAUAUUGCACUGCGCUGUAAUCUCCCUAUCUUUCCUAAACCAUUGGCAAAGUCUGCUAUCCACUGGGGCCUUGGGUCGGUGGUGCUUUGGGAAAUACCAGAAGAGGGAAAGUACGGCAAAUGUGCAGUGUCACAGAUGAUAGGAGGAAAGCUGGCCAGUGGGAUGAUUAAAACAAUUUCGGUGGGAGUGGGAAUUCAGACCAUGUAAAUGGUCUGAAUUAAGAAAAUUUCAAGAAACAAAAAAUGUUUCUAAUGAGCCAAAGUGAAAGCUCUUCAUGAUUUCUUUAUAGAGGCUCUCUAGUGCUUGUCCUAAUUUCCUGAAAUCUCAUGGGUAUCUUACUCUCCUGGUGCCCGCCUCAAACAUUCACUGUAGCAAUUAUAUGAGCAGCCUAGAGAAUCCCAAUCCCAGUGGUCUUGCUCCCUGGAUCUACUUUCUCUUAAAAAUCAUUCCCCUAAGUUUCCGUCACUUGGUUGAAGUUUAGUAGAUAUCUCCACAUCUCCAGCUAGAACAGCACCAGAAUUUCAGGACUAGGGCAAUAGAGUCUGAUAUUAAAUUCUAUUUCUAUCUAUCUAUCUAUCAUCUAUCUAUCUAUCUAUCUAUCUAUCUAUCUAUCUAUCUAUCUAUCUACAGAACAAUUUGUGGGAUAGUAGCUUUGGGGUCCCAGAUCUAGGAUGGGCCUGGUCCUCCAUGCUGGUUCUCCUGGGUGAUAUUUCUGUUAGUUUGAACAGUAAUCACACUUUUAUUACUGUUUCAUCUUUUUUUUUUCACUCUUAGACUGAUUUUAUCAUGUGUAUAAAACAUACACACACCUACAUCUCAAGGAUAAACAUUAAUCCUUGAAAAAUAUGUGGUCUAAAACUAUAUUGAGGAGAGAAAGAUAGGACACUUUAAUUGCCACAUGAUUAACACGAGGUCACCACACAGCUUUCACAAAUCUACAAGUCAUUCUAUUUAGGCUGAGUCAAGUUCUCCCUUGGGCCAGCCAGAGCACAAAUAAUGGAGCAAUGUGACUCUUCAAUGACAGAUCUCUGAUUUCCAGAAAAGAGACUUUGAAAUACCCAAUUCUAGUAAAUAUGCAAUUAAAUUUCCAGCUAAAUGACCUUUGCUCCUGUAGUCUUCAUCUUGGGGAAGGGAAAGAAGUCUUAUUCUGUUUAAUAGUUUGAUUUUUAUAAUAGGGUUUGUCUCUGUUAUAAAUCUUGUUUGAUAUUUAAAAUGUUAGCUAAGAGAAAACUUCUGUUUGUUUUUAUUUAGUGGGAAGAAACUAACCCUCAUUGAGUGCCUAGUUAACAUCAGGCACUUUGUACACAUAAUCAAUUGAAUCUUGACCACAACCCUGUGAGGUGAAAAAUGAGAAGAUUAAAUAAGCCAUGGGAAGAUUUUUUAAAAUGACAUGAAACUCCAAGGGUAAAAAGUAGGCUGGGAAAUCUUAGGAUGGUGAACCAUCAUGUUUCCUGAAUGUGAAUCCUGUACCUGGUUUGACUGUAGUCACCCCUUCUCCAACACUCUCCACGAUGCCGGCUGCCUCAUGGCCUAAAAUCACAGGAAGUGGGGUCACCAUGGUACCACUAACCACGUGGUCAUCUGUGCCACAGAUUCCUACAGCCACCAUCUACAGAGUGAAGAGAAGAUGUUUAUAAAAGAUUGUGAGUCUCAGGAUGUUCAACAUGAUCAAUGCCAAAUAAAUAUCAGAAUACUUGGAAGUAAAGUACUAAUAGUAGGAGUUCCUGAUUAUCAGGUGCCUAUGAUGUGACAGGCACAUUGUGGCCUGUGCUCGACCAGGAGACUGCUUUUCCAGGCUGAGAUCAAAGACGGAGAUGUGCCUACCCGCAGAUCCUAGAUGGCCAUGUUUGCAACAGAGGUAAUGAUGAGCAGUGCGAAGAUGUGACUCCAAAGCCUGGAGAAGGACAGACCAGCAUCCCUGCAAGAGAUCCAACUGUCUUCUUUUCCGCAGAGGUCCAUAAUUUACAUGGGCCUGACAAAGAAUACUGUAACUUGCAGAAAUUAUCUUCAGUUCAAAUCCUUCAUUUUGGGGGUUAAAUAACUUGCCCAAGAUGUCGAGGGAGCGGAAAUACUUGCUGGUCUUGCAGCGGCUGUGGAGCCUGGAAUCCUGCCAAGAAGAGCAUGUGUGAGAGAUCAAAAUGUUUGCUUACAUUCCUCCUGUGAAGGGAGUUGGGAAAUAACCUAAGAAGCCCAAUCCAAAAACAAAGAUGUACCAUCCAGUCUUCUCUGUGAGAACCAAACUACAAACCAUCUGAAUGUUCCAAAAGUGUUUUGAUGAUGUAUUGAUGUAUUUUAAAUUAUCCUGAAAAUGUUCUUGGCAGAUGCUUAAACAUGUAAUUACUGAGAUGAUGUAGAAAUACCAAGUGUUUAUUAAAACAAUACAGAGUAAUACAAAUGGUAUGUUUGUCGCAAUAUAAAAGUAUCUAAAAAUUAAAGAGUUCUUUAAUGGUGAA